Molecule: ribosomal RNA, 503 nt
Filed under: uncultured bacterium
Lineage: Bacteria
Description: partial 16S ribosomal RNA
Rfam family: Bacterial small subunit ribosomal RNA
Source: RNAcentral
AACGAACGCUGGCGGCACGUUUUAAGCAUGCAAGUCGAACGGCAGUGGGGGCAACCCCAUGAGAGUGGCGAACGGGUGAGUAACACGUAGGUGAUCUGCCUUUGGGUUGGGGAUAGCUUGUGGAAACACAGGGUAAUACCGAAUGAGCUGACGAGGCUUUGGCCAUGUUAGUAAAGGUGCUACGGCACCGCCUAGAGAGGAGCCUGCGGCUGAUUAGCUAGUUGGUGGGGAAAAGGACUACCAAGGCGACGAUCAGUAGCCGGCCUGAGAGGGGGGACGGCCACACUGGAACUGAGACACGGUCCAGACUCCUACGGGAGGCAGCAGCUAAGAAUCUUCCGCAAUGGGCGAAAGCCUGACGGAGCGAUGCCGCGUGAUCGAUGAAGGUCGAGAGAUUGUAAAAAUCUUUUCCAACUGAGGAAUAAGUGGACCAGGGAAUGGGUUCAUGAUGACGUUAAGUUGGGAAUAAGCCCCGGCUAAUUACGUGCCAGCCGCCGCCGUAA